CCUACGGGUGGCAGCAGUAGGGAAUCUUUCACAAUGGGCGAAAGCCUGAUGGAGCAACGCCGCGUGCAGGAUGAAGGCCUUCGGGUUGUAAACUGCUUUUAUAAGCGAGAAAUAUGAUGGUAACUUAUGAAUAAGGAUCGGCUAACUACGUGCCAGCAGCCGCGGUCAUACGUAGGAUCCGAGCAUUAUCCGGAGUGACUGGGUGUAAAGAGUUGCGUAUGUGGCCUAAUGAGUAGCUAGUGAAAUCUGGUGGCUCAACCAUUCAGACUAUUAGCUAAACUGUUAAGCUCGAGACCGUUAGGGGUAACUGGAAUUUCUGGUGUAGGAGUGAAAUCCGUAGAUAUUAGAAGGAACACCAAUAGCGUAGGCAGGUUGCUGGGACGGUUCUGACACUAAGGCACGAAAGCGUAGGGAGCAAACGGGAUUAGAUACCCCUGUAGUC
Molecule: ribosomal RNA, 442 nt
Filed under: uncultured bacterium
Lineage: Bacteria
Description: partial 16S ribosomal RNA
Rfam family: Bacterial small subunit ribosomal RNA
Source: RNAcentral